CAAUUCAAUUUUUUUUCUUCAUAUGUAUCCAAAUGAUUUAGAUAAUAGAACAAAGAGUAAAAGAAACUCACUGUUAAGUUUCUGAAAUUUGUACGAAAGAGUGGAUUUAGAAAGAAUGAGUUGGAAGAAGAAAAAUAUUACUCCCCCAUCCUAAUUACAACCUUUGAAAUUUAUAUUCUAAAAUAAAUUUUAAAUAUUUGUGUGACUAUAAAUUAUAUCAUUAAGAUAAAAAUAAUCAUUUAUAGUCUAAAAUAAAUCUUAAAUAUUUGUGUGACUAUGAAUUAUUUCAUUAAGGUAAAAAUAAUAAUUUAAAACUAAGUUAUUUUUUAUAUAAAAAGAUAACAUUUUUGAAAAUAGAUUAAAAAUAAAAAUGUGUUACUUAAAUUUAUGCUUAAAAUAGAAGAGGAAGAAAAACAAAAUCAAUAAAAACUACAACAAAAAAAUGUUAGCAAAAUUCACGCCUAUAUUUAUAUUAAUAUAACAUAAAAAUGUAAAAAAGGAUACCAUGUAGAUUAUUUAUGGCCUAAUAAUACGAAAAUGCAGCAUUAAAAUUUUACACAAAAAUUGCGCAACAUUAGAAUCAAACCCGCAACGUGGAAGCUGAAAAUUUGGCCUUUCACCACUGGCACCAGGCAGGCUACCUGUUGUUGG
RNAcentral lists this long non-coding RNA (651 nucleotides) under Solanum tuberosum (potato). RNAcentral's name for it is "long non-coding RNA (STUB_LNC009785)". Lineage: Eukaryota; Viridiplantae; Streptophyta; Magnoliopsida; Solanales; Solanaceae. The record is from RNAcentral.